RNAcentral lists this ribosomal RNA (393 nucleotides) under uncultured bacterium. RNAcentral describes it as "partial 16S ribosomal RNA". It matches the Rfam family "Bacterial small subunit ribosomal RNA", at positions 523 to 918 of the family's 1533-position model. The record is from RNAcentral.
AUACGGAGGAUCCGAGCGUUAUCCGGAUUUAUUGGGUUUAAAGGGUGCUCAGGCGGGCCAUUAAGUCGGCGGUGAAAUUUUGCGGCUCAACCGUAAAAGUGCCUUCGAUACUGGUGGUCUUGAGUGUGGAUGAGGUAGGCGGAAUUUGUGGUGUAGCGGUGAAAUGCAUAGAUAUCACGAGGAACUCCGAUUGCUAAGGCAGCUUACUAAGCCAUAACUGACGCUCAAGCACGAAGGCGUGGGGAUCAAACAGGAUUAGAUACCCUGGUAGUCCACGCAGUAAACGAUGAUUACUGGCUGUUUGCGAUAUAUUGUAAGCGGCUGAGCGAAAGCGUUAAGUAAUCCACCUGGGGAGUACGUUCGCAAGAAUGAAACUCAAAUGAAUUGACGGGG